UUGAAAUGGAUUUAUCACAAUUGGACUUGAUUUCACAACACGAAGAUGAUUGUUCAUUGACACAUAUUGAACUUGAUGAUGUUGUGCCCAUCGAAAUGGACCCUCAAAAUGAUGGAAAUGAAAUUGUUGCUAAUGACCAAUUGAAUGAUGGUGUGGAUAAUUGUCGGUCCAAGGCCAAGCUCAUAGAUGGAGAUAAAGUUGUUGAGGAGCCUAAGAGCGGUAUGCUAUUUGGCUUCAUAGAGGAAGUCGUUGACUAUUAUAGGAAUUAUGGAAAGCAAGCGGGCUUUGGUGUGACACAAAAGAAGAAGAAAAAGUAUGAAAAUGGAGAUGUACACUACAUCAGUCUGACAUGUGCUCGCGGAGGCAAAGCAUCAUCCAGUUCAAGUAAUAACCUGUGCAAGGCUAGCAAAACAAGCAAAACGGGGUGUCAGGCUACUUUGAAUGCAACGUUAGUGGAUACAUCGUGGUAUGUGACAAAUGUAAAUCUAGGGCAUAAUCACGACUUAAGCCCAGGUAAAGCGAGAUACUUUCGGUGCAACAAGAAGUUGGAUCCUGCUACGAAGAGAAAGCUUGAUAUAGAUGAUAGAGCUGGAAUCCGCACCAAUAAAAUUUAUAACGCACUAGCCGUUGAAGCGGGGGGUUAUGAGAAUCUUACAUUUGGAGAGAGAGAGUGUCGCAAUUAUAUUGCGAACUCAAGACGCCUUCGCCUUGGUACAGGAGGUGCCGCAGCACUUCGUGACUAUUUCAAUAGAAUGCGGAACGUAAAUGAUGAUUUUUAUUUUGAUAUAGAUGUGGAUGAUGAGUGUCGGCUGAGAAAUGUUUUUUGGGCUGAUGCACGAAGUAGGGCAUCAUAUGAAGAUUUUGGUGAUGUGGUUACAUUUGACACAACAUACUUAACCAACAAAUACGAAAUGCCAUUUGCUCCUUUUGUGGGAGUAAACCAUCAUGGUCAAUCAAUUCUUUUAGGGGCGGCAUUAAUUUCAAGUGAGGAUACGGAGUCAUUUGUUUGGUUGUUUGAGGCAUGGUUGAAAUGCAUGAAGGGCCGUGCGCCAAGGGCAAUUAUUACAGAUCAAGAUAGGGCCAUGAAAAAUGCUAUUAAGAAGGUGUUUCCGAAUGCUCGUCAUAGAUUUUGUUUAUGGCAUAUACUGAAAAAACUUCCGGAAAAGUUUGGAUCACAUUUACAAUACUAUGCCAUUAAGAGUGCCAUAAGAAAUUGUGUGUAUAAUUCUCAUACAUGUGACGAGUUUGAUUCAUGUUGGCAGAGUAUGCUUGAGUGUUAUAAUCUAGAGGAGAAUGCAUGGCUGCGUGGUUUAUACAGUGAAAGGACUUUUUGGGUACCAACAUAUUUGAAUGAUGUAUUUUGGGCCGGCAUGACUACCACACAACGUAGUGAGAGUAUGAAUGCCUUUUUUGAUGGUUAUGUGCAAUCGUCCACCUCAUUGAAGGAAUUUGUGGAUCAAUACGAUAACGCUUUGCGCAGGAAGGUUGAGGUUGAGAAUGUUGCUGAUUUCGAUUCCUUCAAUACCACCAUUUCAUGUGUGAGCCAUUGGCCCUUUGAGAAGCAAUUCCAAAAAAUUUACACCCAUGCAAAGUUUAGAGAAGUUCAGAAGGAGAUUUCGUCGAUUAUGUAUUGUGGUUCUUCUCUUUUAAAAAGUGAAUGUGGAAUUCGUACCUAUCAGGUGAUCGAACAGGUAGAAAUUAAUGAAUCCUAUAGGAAAAAAAUCGUUUUUAAUGUUUGCUACAAUGGCCCUGUAUGUGAAGUGAAUUGUAGUUGCCGUUUGUUUGAAUCAAGAGGAAUUUUGUGCAAACAUGCCAUAUCCGUGUUGACUACAUUUGAAGAUGUCGAUUUCUUGCCCGAAAAGUAUUUUCUAAAUCGAUGGAGGAAGGAUUUGAAGCGGCCAUAUAAGUUAAUCAAGAGUAGUUAUGAUCCUUUGAGUGGCAACCCUACUGCAGAUCGAUAUGCUGAACUGAGCAACAAUGUGCUGAAGUUGGCCGCUAUUGCAGCACCAAACGUGGACCAUUGCAUGGAAUUGCAAAAGUAUGUUGAUAUGCUAAUUAAGAAAUUUAGCGGUCCAAGCUGUGAACAAAGUCAACCUUCCCAAUCACUCCCAAGUGCAAAAGAUCUCCCAAGUGCACCUAUGAUCGAUAAUGGAGCCAUGGAUUGUAUGGAGGUGGAGGUGUGUAGUCCUCUUGUGGCUCGAACUAAAGGCGCGCGACCAUCAAUCAGAAAAGUGUCUGUGGUUGAAAAAGUGGUGAGAAAAAAGUCGUCAAAAGGAGGAAAUAAGAAACAGAGCAACGCAAAUCCCGAGCAGCGAGGGAAAAGAAAGAAGACAUGCCAAAGAUCGCUAGUAGAUGAACUGGACACAAGUGAAGAUCAGUUGCCUUUUUCAACUGAUGUGCAGCAUGACCAAGUGAUUGAAACACAACAUAGUGUACUUACACAGACGUUUGGGAAUUCACAAUCGUCAUGUAUUUUCGAAGGAGAUUCUAUAUACUUGUCGUAAGUGGGCUCGGCUUCAUAUCCUCAGACAACCAAUUUUCUUGAUCCUGCUUUUGUUUCGGGUGAUCCCAUCUAUAAUGUGCAAAGCCAGUGCUCAUCAAAUUCUACAUUUUCUGUUUCCUUUAAGCAGUCAUCCAUUGAGCUGCAAGAAGGACCAACCAAACAACAAGAGGAACGUGGUCGUGCUUUUGAAUGAAGAGAGGGGCUUUUAUCCAAUCGAUCAGAGCUGUUGAAGACUAGUUUUGUAUGAUAUAUGUGACCAAUCGAGUGUGCAAUAUGUAUAUAUAUGCUGGAGUACUAACCUUAAAUAAUGGAGACUUCCAGUAGUUUUGUGUAUCUUUCUUGUCUCCUUUUGUUAGAUUGUGAAACUGUUAUUGUAAUGGUGAGAUUUUGGCCGAUGAGAAAUA
Molecule: RNA transcript, 2907 nt
Organism: Alnus glutinosa
Lineage: Eukaryota; Viridiplantae; Streptophyta; Magnoliopsida; Fagales; Betulaceae
Gene name: protein FAR1-RELATED SEQUENCE 5-like
Exons: 6
Source: RefSeq, a predicted model, not a curated record